This 477-nucleotide ribosomal RNA is filed under the name uncultured bacterium. RNAcentral's name for it is "bacterial SSU rRNA". It matches the Rfam family "Bacterial small subunit ribosomal RNA", at positions 232 to 721 of the family's 1533-position model. The record is from RNAcentral.
CGCGGCCUAUCAGCUUGUUGGUGAGGUAGUGGCUCACCAAGGCUCCGACGGGUAGCCGGCCUGAGAGGGCGACCGGCCACAUUGGGACUGAGAUACGGCCCAAACUCCUACGGGAGGCAGCAGUGGGGAAUAUUGCACAAUGGGCGGAAGCCUGAUGCAGCAACGCCGCGUGCGGGAUGACGGCCUUCGGGUUGUAAACCGCUUUCAGCAGGGACGAAGCUAACGUGACGGUACCUGCAGAAGAAGCACCGGCUAACUACGUGCCAGCAGCCGCGGUGAUACGUAGGGUGCGAGCGUUGUCCGGAUUUAUUGGGCGUAAAGAGCUUGUAGGCGGUUUGUCGCGUCGGGAGUGAAAACUCAGGGCUUAACCCUGAGCCUGCUUCCGAUACGGGCAGACUUGAGGAAGGUAGGGGAGAAUGGAAUUCCUGGUGAAGCGGUGGAAUGCGUAGAUAUCAGGAGGAACACCAGUGGCGAAGG